RNAcentral lists this ribosomal RNA (436 nucleotides) under uncultured bacterium. RNAcentral's name for it is "bacterial SSU rRNA". It matches the Rfam family "Bacterial small subunit ribosomal RNA", at positions 338 to 790 of the family's 1533-position model. The record is from RNAcentral.
CCUACGGGUGGCAGCAGCAGGGAAUCUUGGGCAAUGGGCGAAAGCCUGACCCAGCGACGUCGCGUGGGGGACGAAGGCCUUAGGGUUGUAAACCCCUUUUCCGAGGGAAGAUACGGGACGGUACCUCGGGAAUAAGCCCCGGCUAACUACGUGCCAGCAGCCGCGGUAAUACGUAGGGGGCAAGCGUUACCCGGAAUCACUGGGCGUAAAGUGCGCGUAGGCGGUUGGAUAAGUCUCUUGUGAAAGCUCCCGGCUCAACUGGGAGAGGUCAAGGGAUACUAUUCGACUUGAGGACAGCAGAGGUAAGCAGAAUUCCCGGUGUAGCGGUGGAAUGCGUAGAUAUCGGGAGGAACACCAGUGGCGAAAGCGGCUUACUGGGCUGUAUCUGACGCUGAGGCGCGAGAGCGUGGGGAGCAAACUGGAUUAGAUACCCAGG